GAAGUAAAAGUCGUAACAAGGUCUCCGUUGGUGAACCAGCGGAGGGAUCAUUACCGAGUUUACAACUCCCAAACCCCUGUGAACAUACCACUUGUUGCCUCGGCGGAUCAGCCCGCUCCCGGUAAAACGGGACGGCCCGCCAGAGGACCCCUAAACUCUGUUUCUAUAUGUAACUUCUGAGUAAAACCAUAAAUAAAUCAAAACUUUCAACAACGGAUCUCUUGGUUCUGGCAUCGAUGAAGAACGCAGCAAAAUGCGAUAAGUAAUGUGAAUUGCAGAAUUCAGUGAAUCAUCGAAUCUUUGAACGCACAUUGCGCCCGCCAGUAUUCUGGCGGGCAUGCCUGUUCGAGCGUCAUUUCAACCCUCAAGCACAGCUUGGUGUUGGGACUCGCGUUAAUUCGCGUUCCCCAAAUUGAUUGGCGGUCACGUCGAGCUUCCAUAGCGUAGUAGUAAAACCCUCGUUACUGGUAAUCGUCGCGGCCACGCCGUUAAACCCCAACUUCUGAAUGUUGACCUCGGAUCAGGUAGGAAUACCCGCUGAACUUAAGCAUA
RNAcentral lists this ribosomal RNA (552 nucleotides) under Fusarium oxysporum. RNAcentral describes it as "eukaryotic LSU rRNA". The stretch from base 202 to 355 matches the Rfam family "5.8S ribosomal RNA". The record is from RNAcentral. Lineage: Eukaryota; Fungi; Ascomycota; Sordariomycetes; Hypocreales; Nectriaceae.